Molecule: non-coding RNA, 1394 nt
Organism: Microcebus murinus (gray mouse lemur)
Lineage: Eukaryota; Metazoa; Chordata; Mammalia; Primates; Cheirogaleidae
Source: RefSeq, a predicted model, not a curated record
AGGCUCGCGGAGCCGGUAACGUGACCUGAGGGUGCUGACCUUGGUGCUGUGCCCGUUGGAGCGGCCAUUCGUGGCCCGAGGCGCCACCUGAGGCCCGAAACAUUUAAAUUCCAUAGGCUCCUGAUGGCCGCAGAUCCCACAAAUCCCGACGGGCAUGGAUUGGUUGUGGCAAGAAGCGGGUCACAAUAGUCCUCGGCGUUGUACCUGCCAGGGGUGGCCCAGAGCAAGAAAGGGAGGCGGCGACGGAGGAGGGUCGGUGUGCACCCCGGACGAAAGCUCCCCGCCGUCCAGAGUGGAGGGGCAUCCCGGAGUCACCAGCAGACGGCACCGGCUUCAGGUAGCUGGGGGCUCCUGAUGCCGCCUCCUCCAAGAAGCUCUGCAUCCGAGUCCUGGAGCCAGGCAGGACUUCUUGGUGGUUGUCUUGGAAAGAGACCAACAAUUGUCAGUACGACAACACGGGGCAUUUCUCUUCUCAUUGAGUCUUGCAGCCGACCACACAGCUGUAUAUGGUUAUCUUCCCCUGGGGGCAAGGACAUGAGCUGAACAUCAGUUGAGUAAAAGAGCAAAGACAGAUGAGCAGAGAGGAUCAGUGAACAAGAACAAAGCUGUGUACAUACAUGUUUCUCCAUCUUGGAAAGAAAGAAAAGGGCCCAUCAUGGCAAAUGUGGAACAUCUCGAGGCCAGUAUGUUGACAUCUGAUCGGUCUCAUCCAAAACUAUACCCUCUGUCACAUACACAAACACCCUGAAGUACUGGGCCUCCAGCUUGCUCUCGGACAAGAGAGGGCAGGUUAAGUUUGUGUGAUGUAACUAGAAAGGGCUGAGCCUCUUUCCACUAGAGCAAGGCCCAUUAUUGGCAACUGGUGGUCACCCACCAUUUCUAUCUAACUUCUGCUUAUAGUUGCUGAGAUAUUGUUUCUUUCAUUAGAAGAAAGUGAGUGGUUGGUGAUCCAACACUUCUGUCUCCAAAGAAACCCUGGGCGUGUGUCAAAGGUGCCCCAAGGUGAAACUGCUGCUUGCCAUCCUCAUGCCAGAGGAAAAUGUUGAAUACAAGUGGAGACAACGGACACACUUGCCAGGUUCUGGGUCUCAGGGGAAAGUAUCCAGUGAACUAACUGAAGGGUUCUGUGGAUGCGCUUCAACACAUUAAGGACACUCCCUCCAAUUCCUAUUUUGCUAAGAGAUUUUUCGAAAGGGGUAUUGAAUAUUGUCAAUUACUUUGUACACAGAUUUGAGAUAAUGAUAUGGCUUUUAUCCUUCUCUUAAUAAGGUGAAUUAUGUUGAUUUUAAAAUAUUAAAUCAACUUUGCAAUUCUGGGACCCCCCCCAAGAGGUGGUCAUGUUAGAUCAUAUGUAAUUAUUGUACCUUUUUGAUAAACUGGCCCUUUUAUCAGUA